Molecule: long non-coding RNA, 218 nt
Filed under: Lathyrus oleraceus (garden pea)
Lineage: Eukaryota; Viridiplantae; Streptophyta; Magnoliopsida; Fabales; Fabaceae
Description: Pisum sativum (pea) long non-coding RNA (PSAT_LNC015551)
Source: RNAcentral
GUUUGUAGUGGAAGACUUGGUCAGAGAGUUGUGAGAUAGUGAUUGUUGGUUUAUUGGUGAGGUGGCUGGUUAAUUAUGGUUGUUGGGGUUGUUGGUUGGUUGUGCACAACAGGUGUUAAUUUUUGAUUUUUCCAUUGACUUACAAGGUAGGGGUGAAUGUCAUCAUUUAGGAAGUUAUAAUGAUGAGGGGAAGGAGAGUAUAUCUUGGCGAAGGGGAA